RNAcentral lists this ribosomal RNA (465 nucleotides) under uncultured bacterium. Its description in RNAcentral is "partial 16S ribosomal RNA". It matches the Rfam family "Bacterial small subunit ribosomal RNA", at positions 28 to 507 of the family's 1533-position model. The record is from RNAcentral.
GAUGAACGCUGGCGGCGUGCUUAACACAUGCCAGUCGAACGGAAAGGCUCCUGCUUGCAGGGGUACUCGAGUGGCGAACGGGUGAGUAACACGUGGGUGAUCUGCCCUGCACUUCGGGAUAAGCCUGGGAAACUGGGUCUAAUACCGGAUAGGACGAUGGUUUGGAUGCCAUUGUGGAAAGUUUUUCGGUGUGGGAUGAGCUCGCGGCCUAUCAGCUUGUUGGUGGGGUAAUGGCCUACCAAGGCGUCGACGGGUAGCCGGCCUGAGAGGGUGUACGGCCACAUUGGGACUGAGAUACGGCCCAGACUCCUACGGGAGGCAGCAGUGGGGAAUAUUGCACAAUGGGCGCAAGCCUGAUGCAGCGACGCCGCGUGGGGGAUGCCGGCCUUCGGGUUGUAAACUCCUUUCGCUAGGGACGAAGCGCAAGUGACGGUACCUGGAGAAGAAGCACCGGCUAACUACGUG